GACGAACGCUGGCGGCGUGCUUAACUCAUGCAAGUCGAACGGAAAGGCCCCUUUGGGGGUACUCGAGUGGCGAACGGGUGAGUAACACGUGAGUAACCUGCCCUUGACUUCGGGAUAACUUCAGGAAACUGGGGCUAAUACCGGAUAGGAAUCCUUGCUGCAUGGUGGGGGUUGGAAAGCUUCGGCGGUUUUGGAUGGACUCGCGGCUUAGCAGCUUGUUGGUGGGGUAGUGGCUUACCAAGGCUUUGACGGGUAGCCGGCCAGAGAGGGCGACCGGCCACAUUGGGACUGAGAUAAGGCCCAGACUCCUACGAGAGGCAGCAGUGGGGAAUAUUGCACAAUGGGCGGAAGCCUGAUGCAGCAACGCCGCGUGCGGGAUGACGGCCUUCGGGUUGUAAACCGCUUUCAGCAGGGGCGAAGCUUGUGGUGACGGUACCUGCAGAAGAAGCACCGGCUAACUACGUG
This 465-nucleotide ribosomal RNA is filed under the name uncultured bacterium. RNAcentral describes it as "partial 16S ribosomal RNA". It matches the Rfam family "Bacterial small subunit ribosomal RNA", at positions 28 to 507 of the family's 1533-position model. The record is from RNAcentral.